Molecule: ribosomal RNA, 396 nt
Filed under: Micrococcus sp. oral taxon F54
Lineage: Bacteria; Bacillati; Actinomycetota; Actinomycetes; Micrococcales; Micrococcaceae
Description: bacterial SSU rRNA
Rfam family: Bacterial small subunit ribosomal RNA
Source: RNAcentral
GAUGAACGCUGGCGGCGUGCUUAACACAUGCAAGUCGAACGAUAAAGCCCAGCUUGCUGGGUGGAUUAGUGGCGAACGGGUGAGUAACACGUGAGUAACCUGCCCUUGACUCUGGGAUAAGCCCGGGAAACUGGGUCUAAUACCGGAUAGGAGCGCCUGUCGCAUGACGGGUGUUGGAAAGAUUUUUCGGUCAUGGAUGGACUCGCGGCCUAUCAGCUUGUUGGUGAGGUAAUGGCUCACCAAGGCGACGACGGGUAGCCGGCCUGAGAGGGUGACCGGCCACACUGGGACUGAGACACGGCCCAGACUCCUACGGGAGGCAGCAGUGGGGAAUAUUGCACAAUGGGCGGAAGCCUGAUGCAGCGACGCCGCGUGAGAGAUGACGGCCCUUUCCGG